UAUUCCUCCGCCUUCUCGUGCAGCGCGGCUUCCUGCUGCUGCAGCCUGCGCUGCACGUCCGCGAGACUCCGGCUGAGCUGCCGCGCGCGGCACGCGGUCCUCUCCAGCUCGCCCGGGAGCCUGUCCGAGCUGCCCUCCUCCUCUUCCUCCAGCCGCUCGGGGCCGCUGUUGUCGCCGCCGCCGCCGCCGAGCAGCUGUUCGCGCUCCAGCUCGAGCUCCUCGCUCAGCCUCCGGACGGCCUCGCGAUGCCGCUCGAGAUCCUCCUCGAGCCGGUAAACCGCCUCGCUCCGCUCGAGGUACUCCUGGAGGGGCCCGCCCUCCAGCAGGUUAAACCUUGAAGAAAAAUGCAUUCCAGCCCAAAAAAGAAUGCCUUCAGAGAAAAUGUGUUCAUUUUUUGCUUCAAACUUUCAAAGUUUGUUUUACCACAAGUAACCUGAAGUGAUGAGUGAAGUUCUAAGCUGAUUCUGUGUAAGGCAUCAAGUUAUUAAAUGGAUAAAAUUAUAAGAAUUGCAUGCUUUCGAGGGGGCACUCCAACAGCUCACUACUCACAGGUUUUGUGAUAGCUGUAUAUGUGGUGGAGUCAAAGACAGAGAUGGAAUUAGAAGUGCAAUUUUGUUAUCAACAACAUCAAUCAGGUACUUUGAUCUCAAAAGAACUGAUGGUUUAGACUGUUAAGACUGUAUAAUGAAUUGGUAAAUUCACACUUCAAAUAUUGUGUCUUACUUUGGUCAACCUACCUUCAAAAGUAUAUUGAUGUAUUGGAGAGAGACAAAAAGAAAGAACAAUUUCACAACCUGAAGCUUUAACUUCAGAGCAGAAGCUCCAAGAAAUCAUUCCAAUGCAUUGCAUUUGUGUGAAGAAUACAGAGAAGAUUAGAUGCAGAUAACUGAUUGGCUGCAGAUCACCCCCUUGCGUUUCAGAACUGGACACCACUUGAACUGCCAAUACUCAACAAAUGCCUGUUUAUUUCCCUCUCUCAGACUGGUAUUAAGGAGCCACGGGACUAACUGCAAACCACUCCACAGACUGCAGAAGCAUGGGCUCCUGGACCAACAGGAUGUCUGAGCAUGGCGAAACUGCUGAACUCAUCUCAAAGAAUGCUCUUGACCAACUGUUACAACAUUCUGACUGAUGAGUACCUCCAUGCGCUUCACUGAGGACCAGUCAUUUCUGACUUUGAGACGUUGCCAUUUGCUUGCAGCAUAUGCAAUGUGUUUGCCACGUAAGCUGCUGGUGUGCCCUGAAGCGCAUCUUUAGAGAACAGAAGCAUCCUGCACAUGGAUCAGAAAGAUGCCACAGGGGUUCUGAGAGGCUAGCAGUUGUCAGAUGCCACACUAGCAUCCAGCUGGUGCCCUUGAGCAUACCUCAAGACAUUGUUACAGAGUGCCUAAGAUGACAGCCUGGGAGGUACCAAACAGUGAGCUGAAGUCAGAGAUAGCAUUUCCUGAAUAAGGGUUAGGACCCACAAUGUCAGCUUUCCUGCUCCUCUGAUGCUGCCUGGCCUGCUGUUUUCUUCCAGCUCCAUACGGUUUUAUCAUAGAGCUGAAGUCACUAGGUACCACACUCAUCUUCAUUUGGAAAUUGUCAAUAUCUAGUUUCCUCAUAGCAGCUGACAGAACAAAAGCAGUCCUGAGGAGAUGGGGCAGCACAGCGACACAGUAAUACUUAGCACUCUGCCUCACAGUGCCAGGGAUCCAGGUUCCAUUCCAGUCUUGAGUGGCAUUUGCAUGUUCUCCUAAUGUCUUCAUGGACUUGCGCUGGGUGAUCCAGUUUCCUCCCACAGUCCAAAGAUGUGCAGGUCAGGUGGACUGGCCAUGGAAAACUUGGCAUUAUAGGGGUAGAGUGCGGCUGCUGGGUCUGGAUGGGAUGCCCUUCAGAGGGUUGGUGUGGGCUCGAUGGACUGGAUGACUUGUUGGCUUUAUUUUUUGUAUAUUUCAGUUUAGAUGUGUGUCAACAUUUUUAAAGUACUUCUAGUAUUAUUUGCCAUUUCACAAUCAGUAUUUUUUAAAAAGAAACAAGAAAUUUAAUUGAUUGGUUCGGUUGUUAAGUACUGAUGAGGAACAUGAAAACAAAGAGUCAAACAGCAUUCAAUUAAUUUAUGUUUAGCCUAUUGUAUAUUUGAUUGUUGUUUUGACAGAUGAGUUCUCAUUUUAACAAAUGAUUAAUUUUUUCUUCAAGGAUGGAGAAUGCUCUAAGCCAACAUUGUAUGCGAUUGUAUCUUUGAAAGGCUCCUGUUUUGAGUAUUCAAUGUAAAAAAAUUAAUUUUCUAGAUAGAUAAGCGUGCAGAAAUGCUGUCAUUUGUACUCUUCUGCAGGGAUACAGCAUUUCAAUACACAAGAUGUCAUUAUGAUUGGAGGUCUUUCCAUUGGUAUUUGGAGCGCUAGCUGCAAGUGUAAUUCAAAACUUGCUAGGUUUCCUUCUACUCCAGGGUAGUAAGUCUAAGAAUACAGUAAAAAGGGUGGAACAAUAUUAAACUCAACAGAACACUAAAAGUAUCUUAUACUUUGUAUCAAUGCGAAGGAGUUUUGGCUUCAUGCCCAUCCAGCUUUAACUUGGAUAGGAAAUUGCUUCACAGUUUUAUUAACAGCAUGAAAUUACAUUGAGGCAGUUUGGCCACAAAAACAAAUGCAGAAUCUGGAAUUAAUCCACGGCAAAUAAAUCAUUCAUGUCUAUUAAUAUUAACCUUUA
This is a long non-coding RNA of Stegostoma tigrinum, 2688 nucleotides long. RefSeq lists it as uncharacterized. Lineage: Eukaryota; Metazoa; Chordata; Chondrichthyes; Orectolobiformes; Stegostomatidae. The record is from RefSeq and is a predicted model, not a curated record. The transcript is spliced from 4 exons.